CACUGGGUGGCAUAGUAGUUUGAGUGCUGAACUAUGACUCUGGACACCAGGGUUCGAUUCCCAACUCAGCCA
Non-coding RNA from Phrynosoma platyrhinos (Desert horned lizard), 72 nucleotides. Lineage: Eukaryota; Metazoa; Chordata; Lepidosauria; Squamata; Phrynosomatidae. The record is from the annotation of a GenBank genome assembly.